RNAcentral lists this ribosomal RNA (496 nucleotides) under uncultured bacterium. RNAcentral describes it as "partial 16S ribosomal RNA". It matches the Rfam family "Bacterial small subunit ribosomal RNA", at positions 28 to 506 of the family's 1533-position model. The record is from RNAcentral.
GAUGAACGCUGGCGGUGUGCCUAAUACAUGCAGGUCGAGCGAACAGACGAGGAGCUUACUCCUCUGACGUUAGCGGCGGACGGGUGAGUAACACGUGGAUAACCUACCUAUAAGACUGGGAUAACUUCGGGAAACCGGAGCUAAUACCGGAUAACAUGUUGAACCGCAUGGUUCAACAGUGAAAGACGGUCUUGCUGUCACUUAUAGAUGGAUCCGCGUCGCAUUAGCUAGUUGGUAAGGUAACGGCUUACCAAGGCAACGAUGCGUAGCCGACCUGAGAGGGUGAUCGGCCACACUGGAACUGAGACACGGUCCAGACUCCUACGGGAGGCAGCAGUAGGGAAUCUUCCGCAAUGGGCGAAAGCCUGACGGAGCAACGCCGCGUGAGUGAAGAAGGUCUUCGGAUCGUAAAACUCUGUUAUUAGGGAAGAACAAAUGUGUAAGUAACGAUGCACGUCUUGACGGUACCUAAGCAGAAAGCCACGGCUAACUACGU